This 6555-nucleotide long non-coding RNA is filed under the name Lactuca sativa (garden lettuce). RNAcentral describes it as "long non-coding RNA (LSAT_LNC003061)". Lineage: Eukaryota; Viridiplantae; Streptophyta; Magnoliopsida; Asterales; Asteraceae. The record is from RNAcentral.
AAUAAGAGUUUGAUGUAAAAUCAAUAAGGGAGAGAUGGUUGACUUAAAGUUUCGUCACUUUGACUUUUGAUGAACAUAUCAUUAGAAUCCAAUGGUGCAAUACUUUGAUUUAAAUCCUUAAUUUGGCUAUAGUAAUCCAAGGAGCUUGAGAUUACCUAGACUUUUCUUAAUUGUUGAAAUGGCUAGAGAAGCUCAUAACAAUUUCCUUAGUCAAACUCACUAAUUCCAAAUAGCAUGUAAUUAGUGAAAGUCAACUAACAUUAAGAACCAAAAAAUCACCAAAUCCAAGAGGGUUCAAAAGCUUUCACCACCAUGUUGGAGGAAAUGUUUUUAUGAUUGUGUGAAGCAAAAACAACACAAAAAUCAUUUGUUGCUUGCUAAUUUGAGGAUCAUUUACUUAAUCAAGAAAUUAGCCAACUAAUCACCACAAACACAUUUAAACUCAUGAAUAAAAACAUACUAGUACUGAUAACAUGAUAAAACACAAAACAUUUCCAUAAAGAUUGAAGAAUAAGUUCAUGGAUUCUUCAACACCCAACAAAAGUUCAAAGGAUUCAACAAAAAUCAACCAAUAUUAGUUUAGCCAAGCAUGGCUAAACUCAAAGAAACAAAGUUAGAAAAGAUUGUACCAAACAUUAACCAAGAAUCAAGAGAAGAACAGAUGAAGUUCUUCACGGUUUUUGGCCUUCAAAUUGCUCCAAAACUCUAGAGAAAAUGCCUCCAAAUCGGAUGUAAAAGAUAAGGCUGAAGUGGCACACCAACCUUCCCAAUAUAGAGCUCUAGACAAAAUCUCGAAUUUUCCCUUGUCAGGAAUCCACGCGGGCCACGUGACUUUGACGGGUUUUUGGGUUCCUUCAUGUCUUGGGCCCCAACAGCUAGUCCAUCGGCCCGGUACAAGUCUAAUCAGCUUCUAGCCUAUUUUUCUUCAAUAUUUCUUCGAUUUGAGCCCAAUUUGCCUCUCCAAAUCACUCAAAGCUUCCGCAAACUCCCAAACAUCGAUCUUGCACACUCAAGGUAUUGGAAAAUUUGUUCAAUAAUUGAACCGGCCACCUAUCUAAGAUAGUUGCAGCUAAAAAUUUGCAUGCCAUUUUUUUUCCUCUUUUUUUUAUAACAUACUUGAAGGUAAUGUAUUAACAAUUGAAACUUUUUAACAAGAAAACCCUUUGACUCAAAAUUUGGUUCCCAAAAGUGUGUAAGUGGAACCGAAAGGGUAAUGAUAUAAUCUGAAAGGCCUAAGUGUGACAAUGACCAUGUGUGGAGCAUAAAGAUGUAAUGUAAGCUCCUUUUCAAACUUGUGGUUUUUCAAAGAUAAUGAAAAUAUCCAAAUGUGGACUAAAAGACUCUCUAAAAUUCUAAGAAAAUCGCAAAAAGAUAUAGUGAUGUAAAGAGACCGGAUAUCGAUUCUACUCGGGCACAAGCACCAAUGCUUCAUCCUAACAGUUAAAACAUGAUCAAGUGUGAUCCUCUCAGCGGUAGUGACCGCCAGGCUAAGAACAUCCAUUGCUAUAGUAUAUCCUACAGUUGUUAGUAUUGUAUGCAUAAUUCUUCGUGAAACUACCUGGCCAUGAUCACUUACCCCUUUAAGCUUCCAGCAUCUGAUCCCAAGUAUGAAAUCCCAAACUGCAGCCAAUGGUCCUGGUUCGAUGGGUGAGAUAACAACAAGAUCCUGGACCAAUAAUGAUACAAUAACUGUGAACCUGUUCCAUGGUAUCCAAGGAGGUGAGAAUAAACACACAACAAAAAUACAUGAAUGCUAAUGCCUUAAGCUAAAUGUUAUGCAAAAAUAAAAAGUGGAAAAGAAAAAAAUAAAAUAUUUUUUGAAAUUUUAUAAAAAAAUGAAUGAAAAUUAACUUAAACUACUAUGAUAUGCAACCUAACAAAACAAAAAUGCAUGAAAAAAUAAAAGAAAGGGAAAUGCCCCACCCCAAGCUUAAGAACAACCAUUAUCCUCAAUGCUUAUGGGAAGGGCGUAAAUGACCAUAAUCCGAGGGUUGGAUAGAACAUAGGGGUUUCUAGAGGACGAAAAAUGGUGAAUAAUGGUGGUGGUCUCACGGGAUUCCGACCGGUAGAUCUCUGGGAAAUCGAGUUUUUGUGUGGAGUGCGGGCGGGGCGCGGGCCGCGUAGAGGCCGCGUGUAACAUUCCUGGUUUCCUCUUGAGUUCACAGAAGGUUCAGAAGAAUUUUGGGUCGAAACACGCGAGCCACGUAAAGUCCGCGUGAAUUGAAGCUCAAAAAACACUAAGUGUUGAAACUAGCCCUGCGGGCCGCGUGGAUUUUCACGUGGGUCGUGUCUGCUGAACAGGGCUGGAGGUGAUUUUUUUAUGCGGGCAAGGAAUGGGCCGCACAUAAGCCGCACAUGACCUUACGCGGGCCGCGUGACUUCCUGCACUUGAAAAUUUGAAAUUUUUCUAAAAACUUGAUUUUUGGCCAAAAUGAUUCCCACGAUGUCUCGGUUUCAAAAACACAACAAAAGGUUUGGAACAAAGGUGAGAAUAAAGCUUGAAAUUUUUCAAAAUUGAACACUUUCAAAACAAAAAAAAACAUUUUCAAAAUCAUUUUAUUCGGUUUAUAAAAUACGAAAGCACAAUGCUUCCCAAAAAUGCCCUUCUUUAACGUCUUUGGCGAGACGCCUCCAAACUUCACGUUAACACUUUGGGGCGUCCAAAUGGACGACAUCUUUGACAUAUGAAUCAAAACCUUCAUAGAAUGACUUCAAACGAGGUCUAUUAACCUUGAAAACGUUUCCCGUGUCAACAUUUGUAACGUCCCAAAAUUCAAGACUAAAAAUUUCAUUUAAUAAAACAUUACGUUAAGCAAAUUCAUCGUUUUCAAACAUAAACAAAGUAUUAGUUUCCAAAAUACAUAUUCAUUAUCAGAGUAAACAUUCCCAGACUGUCUAAGCUAUGGUGUGUGCCAUGCGAUCAUCCCGAGCUCCAUCAUCCGCUACCGGAAGUACCUGAAACCAAAACUGAAAACCAUAAGCACGAAGCUUAGUGAGUUCCCCACCCUACCACAUACCAUGCAUAACCACAUACUGCACAUACUGGGCCGCGCCCGCUAUCCUGGGCCUCGCCCCCUACCUCGGGCCUCGCCCGUGUAACACCCCAAAGUUUGGAAAGCCAAGAAAAGAAAGAAAACCUCAAGUUUAGGGGAGACUCGGCGAGUCCANUAAUCACAUACUAACGGAUCUUGUCCUAAGGCCUCGCCUAUCUCUGGGCCCCGCCCCUGACCUGCUACUGAUGAGUCACGGAACCCCAUCCAUGCUCCUACUGGUAGUGAGAUACAGGCCCAGCGCACGCUCACUCCCUUCCUGACUGGGGCCUCGCCCCUGCUCUGCUGCUACUGAGAUGUGGAAUACCAUCCACACUCUGCUAUUGGUGAGAUACGGGACCUCGCCCACACUCACCCCCCCUACCAGGCACAUACAAGUAUCACACAGACAACAAGUAUAAACUGUCAUUUAAACCAUUCCUUGGGCACCCGCCCUUUAUCAUUGGACCUCGUCCCGAAUAUCAUACUAGCAUACUGGGCCUAGGGCUAACCCCUGGGUCUUUUACUCAUAACUACAUGGGCCGGAAUUGUGGCCGUAGACCCAUUCAUACACAGGGAAACUCACCUGAUACUGCUGAACUACUACUGCUAAUCCCUUUGACCGCUACCUGACCACUGACUCCGAACUGCUGCUCCACUGGCUCCCCGAGCUACCAAUAUCAACAUAACACUUAGUCUAACUGACCUUCAAAGGUCAACCAAGUCAACUCUUGCCAAAUUCAAAGUCCUAGUCAAAGUCAACCUUCCAGGUCAACCCUACUCGCUGAGUCCACUUACUGACUCGCCGAGUCCCUAUGCUCAAAGUCCUUCCAAUCACGACUCGACUCGCCGAGUCAGCCUUUUACUCGCCGAGUCUACUGAUUCUUGAAACCUGUCCUGUCCAACUCACUGAGUCCUUUCUCGACUCGCUGACUCGAGUCUUAACUCGAAGGGUUUGAGACUACGCGACCUGACUCGCCAAGUCUGAGAACAGACUCGCCGAGCCAAGGCAAUCUUCAUCCAACUCGCCGAGUUGUUCAUCCAACUCGCCGAGUUCAUGCCCAUCUUCAUCCGACUCGACGAUUUGUUCAUCCCACUCAUCGAGUUCCUCCUCAUCUUCAAGCUACUCGCCGAGUCCACUCGAAGGACUCGCCAAGUCCAUACGGAUCUGCUUAGAUGCAGAGGACUUUCGAGUCAUGCAUGGACUCCAAACUGUAGAUCUACCCUUCCCAAGCCUAUCCCCCACGUAAAGUUGCAAACUUUACAUGUAGAGAGGGAGAUCUAGGCAAAAAGCACCAUAAACUAGGGUUUAAGGCCAAGGGGAUUCAAAAUCGACUCUUGAGCUGAUACUUUAUGCUUCUCCAGUCCAUAACACACUUGGAUCUGAAGUAGCAACUCCAGAUCCGGCUCCUAACUCAAGAUAAUAUCAUUAUGGCUAAAGAGCCAACAACCACACAUAAAACUAGAUGCAAAAAGGGUCCAGGAACUAGUUUAUACCUCCAAAAGCUCAGAAAUGUCUUCCCAAUCCCGGAUCUACAGCCCCCUUCUUGCACUCUCAAGAUUCUUCUUCUUCCUCCAAGCUAAAAGCACUCUUAAAGGCAAUAAAUGGCUGAAAUAGAGGAUAUGGCGGCUAGGGUUUGAUAUCCAGGGCUUAAGAGGCAGUAAGGAGCCCUAGGAAGAAGAUUAAGACGUUUAUAUAGGCUCCAAGUCCCAAAUUUAGGGUUUUCCACGCAUAGACCAGACUCGCCGAGUCACCUUGGCCGACUCGCCGAGUCGGUCACUUACUCCUCGACCCGGAUCCCGCUCGGACUGGCCGAGUUCCUCCUUGGACUCGCCGAGUCGCCCCUUAACAUUAAGGUUUUCUUUCCUUUCUUGGCCUUCAAAACUUUGGGUGUUACAACAUUUUUUAAUUUCCAAACCUCCAUUGGGACUCUUUUCUUGUAUUUGACUUUCUUUUUACAGGAGAACCAUACCGGACUUAGACCUUUGAUAAUAGCAAUCAUCCAACCAUAUUCUUCCUUGUACUUUUUCAGUGAGGUGACCAACGCUUCCAUCAUUGACAUGGUGGUCUAGUUGGUGACCGGUUGGGUGUCUUCCGUCUCGGGAUAUGUAUCAAUUAAAAGGUCUGACAAAUUUAUCGUUUCCAGCUCUUUUGGUUCGUCUAUCACUAGUGUUAGUUUCUCAAUGGUAGUGGGUGGCUCAACCUCUCUUUUGUUAACACCAAACACUUCCUCUAUAGUUUCAUUGACAUCUUUCUCAAUUUCUUCUUCUACCUUGAUAGCCUCUUCCAUUUCUACGCCUUCUUCCUCUUCUCCAUAUAACACUCUUGGGCCAUCAAAACUUUUCUCAUCUUUCAAAGGAAUGACACAUGGGCUCUCUUUAGAUGGUAGUUUGUCUUGAUCUUCCAUUAUAGUUAUUGUUUUAGGAAGUUGUGUUAUUUGUUGAUCUAAGCUUUUGAGGCUAGCUUACGUUGUUUCCUGGAAAUUUUAGGUAGAUGUGGCAAUGCUCUUCACAAUGUCCUCUAAGGACAUGCUUGGCAUUUUAGGUUGUUGAGAAGGUGUAGGAUAUGGAUGUUGGAACUGUGGAGGUUGUUGGUAUUGGUCACUUCUCCAACCUUGGUAUGAGCUUUGGUAUUGGUUGUAUCCCCAAGCUUGGUUGUUGUCCCACCAUUGAUCAUAUUGAGGUUGAUCAUAACUCCAUUGGUUUGACCAGCAGUGGCUUCCCUUUUCUUGCACUUCUUCCCAUUCUCCUUGUAAAUAUGGACACAUAUCGCAAUGAUGUCCAUUUUGGGCACAAUUAUCGCAAAGAAGAGGCGAGGGUUGCACACUUUGGUCACUUUCAAUCAUCAUAACUAACCUAGCUAGCUCAGAAAGUUUAUCUUCAAUAGAAGGAGUGUUCAUUUCUGAAACAUAAUACUUUUUUUUCAAUUUUUUUUGGUUUUAACCUAGAGUACCUGCACAAUGAGAUCUAGGCAUAGAGAAACAAAAUGAUUAAAUAUAAACCAAUCCCCGACAAUGGCGCCAAAAAUUUGGUGGUUGUCGAGGCCAAAAAAAUAAUAACCCUAAAUAUUACACACUAAAAUAGUGUAUAGUGGUAAAGGGAUCGAAUCAACGGAGAUUGGUUCAAUUUAUAACUCUAUGAAAAAUCUUUUUGUAAAAAUACUUGUAAAAUAACAAUAAAAAUAAAAUGGGGGGUUUUGGUGUUUUGAAAUACUUGAAACAAACUAGUAACUAUGAGUUAAAUAGACAAUUUGAAAAAAAAAAAUAAGAGUUUGAUGUAAAAUCAAUAAGGGAGAGAUGGUUGACUUAAAGUUUCCUCACGUUGACUUUUGAUGAACAUAUCAUUAGAAUCCAAUGGCGCAAUACUUUGAUUUAAAUCCUUAAUUUGGCUAUAAAAAUCCAAGGAGCUUGAGAUUACCUAGACUUUUCUUAACUGUUGAAAUGGCUAGAGAAGCUCAUAACAAUUUCCUUAGUCAAAGUCACUAAUUCCAAAUAGCAUGUAAUUAGUGAAAGUCAACUAGCAUUAA